AGUGUCGAUCCGACUGUCGUGAGCGUCGGCCGUGUGUAAAUUUAGUGCUAAGUUUACAAAGAUUUCAUCGUGUUUAGUGCUGUGUGUGACAUGUUGGGAGGGACGGGUGCAACGUGCUAGGACAUGUCGCGAAGGAAACAGAGCAAUCCGAAGCCUUUGAAACGUAAGUAGGUUAUCAGCGCCACGUUGUAAGCAGUUCAGGCUGAAUUCUUUGGUUCGU
Molecule: unclassified non-coding RNA, 220 nt
Filed under: Melitaea cinxia (Glanville fritillary)
Lineage: Eukaryota; Metazoa; Arthropoda; Insecta; Lepidoptera; Nymphalidae
Description: misc RNA ENSMCXG00005006537.1
Source: RNAcentral